CGUAACAAGGUUUCCGUAGGUGAACCUGCGGAAGGAUCAUUAAUAAAUGCGUGGGAAGGUAUGCGGGGAAGGGCGUCCUUGGUAGAGGUAUGCUGCCUCCCGAAAUGAGGGACACGCCAACCGCAUUCCGGAACACACAGUUACACCCUUGAUUAUUUACAAUUGUUGCUUUGGUGGACCGCCUCCGGGCGUGGGCCGUGGCCUGCCGUGUCCGCCAGAGGACCCAAACUCUGUUUUUAGUGACGUCUGAGUACUAUAUAAUAGUUAAAACUUUCAACAACGGAUCUCUUGGUUCUGGCAUCGAUGAAGAACGCAGCGAAAUGCGAUAAGUAAUGUGAAUUGCAGAAUUCAGUGAAUCAUCGAAUCUUUGAACGCACAUUGCGCCCGCUGGUAUUCCGGCGGGCAUGCCUGUUCGAGCGUCAUUAGACCAAUCACUUUACGUGGUAUUGGGGCUCGCCGUACCGGCGGCCCUUAAAAACAGUGGCGGUGCCGCCUGGCUCUCAGCGUAGUAAUUUCUCUCGCUUGGAAGUCUGGCGGGCGGCUUGCCAACMACCCCCAACUUUUU
RNAcentral lists this small RNA (565 nucleotides) under uncultured fungus. Its description in RNAcentral is "eukaryotic LSU rRNA". The stretch from base 269 to 422 matches the Rfam family "5.8S ribosomal RNA". Lineage: Eukaryota; Fungi. The record is from RNAcentral.